This 272-nucleotide ribosomal RNA is filed under the name Takifugu oblongus (lattice blaasop). Its description in RNAcentral is "partial 12S ribosomal RNA". It matches the Rfam family "Bacterial small subunit ribosomal RNA", at positions 509 to 902 of the family's 1533-position model. The record is from RNAcentral. Lineage: Eukaryota; Metazoa; Chordata; Actinopteri; Tetraodontiformes; Tetraodontidae.
CAGCCGCCGCGGUUAUACGAGAGACCCAAGUUGUUAGCCAACGGCGUAAAGGGUGGUUAGAACUAUAAACAACAAACUGAGACCGAACACCUUCAAGGCUGUUAUACGCUUCCGAAGCAACGAAGAACAAUAACGAAAGUAGCCUCACUAACUCGAACCCACGAAAGCUAGGACACAAACCGGGAUUAGAUACCCCACUAUGCCUACCCCUAAACACGAUAUGAAACUACGUACAUAUCCGCCCGGUUACUACGAGCAUUAGCUUAAAACCC